GGUGAACGCUGGCGGUAGGCCUAACACAUGCAAGUCGAACGGCAGCACAGUAAGAGCUUGCUCUUACGGGUGGCGAGUGGCGGACGGGUGAGGAAUACAUCGGAAUCUACUUUUUCGUGGGGGAUAACGUAGGGAAACUUACGCUAAUACCGCAUACGACCUACGGGUGAAAGCAGGGGAUCUUCGGACCUUGCGCGAUUGAAUGAGCCGAUGUCGGAUUAGCUAGUUGGCGGGGUAAAGGCCCACCAAGGCGACGAUCCGUAGCUGGUCUGAGAGGAUGAUCAGCCACACUGGAACAGAGACACGGUCCAGACUCCUACGGGAGGCAGCAGUGGGGAAUAUUGGACAAUGGGCGCAAGCCUGAUCCAGCCAUACCGCGUGGGUGAAGAAGGCCUUCGGGUUGUAAAGCCCUUUUGUUGGGAAAGAAAAGCAGCAGGUUAAUACCCCGCUGUUCUGACGGUACCCAAAGAAUAAGCACCGGCUAACUUCGUG
RNAcentral lists this ribosomal RNA (492 nucleotides) under uncultured bacterium. Its description in RNAcentral is "partial 16S ribosomal RNA". It matches the Rfam family "Bacterial small subunit ribosomal RNA", at positions 28 to 507 of the family's 1533-position model. The record is from RNAcentral.